This 321-nucleotide ribosomal RNA is filed under the name uncultured eukaryote. RNAcentral's name for it is "partial 18S ribosomal RNA". It matches the Rfam family "Eukaryotic small subunit ribosomal RNA", at positions 1470 to 1796 of the family's 1831-position model. The record is from RNAcentral.
CCCUUAGAUGUCCUGGGCCGCACGCGCGCUACACUGACAUGUUCAACAAGCCUCCUAGUUCGACAGGAUUUGGGAAAUCUUUGAACGCAUGUCGUGAUAGGGAUAGAUCAUUGCAAUUAUUGAUCUUGAACGAGGAAUUCCUAGUAAACGCGAGUCAUCAGCUCGCAUUGAUUACGUCCCUGCCCUUUGUACGCACCGCCCGUCGCACCUACCGAUUGAAUGUUUCGGUGAAGAUUCCGGAUAGGACUUUUUUGAUUUAUUUCAAUUUUGUCUUAAAAGCUAUCUAAACCUCAACAUUUAGAGGAAGGUGAAGUCGUAACA